This 273-nucleotide ribosomal RNA is filed under the name uncultured bacterium. RNAcentral describes it as "partial 16S ribosomal RNA". It matches the Rfam family "Bacterial small subunit ribosomal RNA", at positions 84 to 354 of the family's 1533-position model. The record is from RNAcentral.
CCCGCCGGCGACCGGCGCACGGGUGAGUAACACGUAUGCAACCUGGCCGCCACGAGGGGACUAACCCGCGGAACGCGGCCUAACUACCCCGUGACGCCACCGGAGGGCAUCCUCCGGUGGCCAAAGGAGCGAUCCGGUGGCGGAUGGGCAUGCGGCGCAUUAGCUAGACGGCGGGGUGACGGCCCACCGUGGCGACGAUGCGUAGGGGUUCUGAGAGGAAGGCCCCCCACACUGGGACUGAGACACGGCCCAGACUCCUACGGAAGGCAGCAG